AGAGUUUGAUCAUGGCUCAGGACGAACGCUGACGGUGUGCUUUAGGCAUGCAAGUCGAACGAGAAAGCCCUUCGGGGUGAGUAAAGUGGCGAACGGGUGAGUAACACGUGGGCAACCUGCCCCUCGCAGGGGGACAACCGGAGGAAACUCCGGCUAAUACCUCGUACGCUUGUUGGAUCGCAUGGUCCGGCAAGGAAAGGUAGCUUCGGCCAUCCGGCGAGGGAUGGGCCCGCGUUGCAUUAGCUAGUUGGUGGGGUAACGGCCUACCAAGGCGACGAUGCGUAGCUGGUCUGAGAGGAUGAUCAGCCACACUGGGACUGAGACACGGCCCAGACUCCUACGGGAGGCAGCAGCCAGGAAUCUUGGGCAAUGGGCGAAAGCCUGACCCAGCAACACCGUGUGGGCGAUGAAGGCCUUAGGGUCGUAAAGCCCUGUUGAUAGGGACGAAGGGCGAAGGGUUAAUAGCCCCUAGCUUGACGGUACCUUUCGAGGAAGCCCCGGCUAACUACGUGCCAGCAGCCGCGGUAAUACGUAGGGGGCGAGCGUUGUCCGGAAUUAUUGGGCGUAAAGAGCGUGUAGGCGGUUCGGUAAGUCUGCUGUGAAAUCCUGGGGCUCAACCCCGGGCGUGCAGCGGAUACUGCCGGGCUAGAGGGUGGUAGAGGCGAGUGGAAUUCCGAGUGUAGCGGUGAAAUGCGCAGAUAUUCGGAGGAACACCAGUAGCGAAGGCGGCUCGCUGGGCCACACCUGACGCUGAGACGCGAAAGCGUGGGGAGCGAACAGGAUUAGAUACCCCAGUAGUCC
This 801-nucleotide ribosomal RNA is filed under the name uncultured Rubrobacter sp. RNAcentral's name for it is "bacterial SSU rRNA". It matches the Rfam family "Bacterial small subunit ribosomal RNA", at positions 8 to 796 of the family's 1533-position model. The record is from RNAcentral. Lineage: Bacteria; Bacillati; Actinomycetota; Rubrobacteria; Rubrobacterales; Rubrobacteraceae.